Molecule: long non-coding RNA, 35404 nt
Filed under: Gossypium raimondii (Peruvian cotton)
Lineage: Eukaryota; Viridiplantae; Streptophyta; Magnoliopsida; Malvales; Malvaceae
Description: long non-coding RNA (GRAI_LNC011030)
Source: RNAcentral
GAAUGAGAGGCUAGGAAAAGAAUAUUUACCUUGUUCAUCAGAGAGAGCACCUAAUAUCCUCUCGACAAGGUCCUACAAGUGAGAUUUACAGAAAGGUCAUACAUAAUUUAAUACAAUGCAGAUAAGUGACGUAAGAACAAUUAUCACAGCCCCCAAAAUUUUUAAGGCCCUUGCUAAAUCUGCCAGUAAAUAGUUUAAAAUUUUAGGAGCAACACACUGGAAUACCAAUGACCUCACAGACAAACGAGUGAAAACUCAUUAUUCACCUCUGAACACUCAAAAUACCAAAAGGAGCAAAACAAAAGCAGAAGCAUGAACUAAAUAUGAGAAGAGUAAAAAUCCACCUAACACCUACCCCUUUCAAAUAAAUAAUAAUGCAAUCUCAUCAAACACCGUUAAACGUUAAAAUAGUUAAAAUACAGUGCAUUAUCUAAAGCUUCUGCUAACCUGCUUCUUCCCCUGCUUUGAAAGACCCAAUUGAGUGAGAACAUCCUUGAGUUCUUUUAUUCGAAAAUAUGCCAAUUUAUCCUACAAUAGGAAAAACAUAUUGGUAUUAGCUCUCCAUGCACAAUUUCUUUUUAAGAUAGCCAAAAAAGCAUCAAUGUAUUAGCAUCACGCAUAACAAGAAGCAACUGAAAACAUGUAAAUUUAUCUACUGACUUUCAGCUUAAGAAUUUAGUCUUAUACUCAGACUAACAAAGUAAUAAAAUGAGUACAAAAUGCCAUUAUUUAAGUGAAGAUAUAAAUAAAGUUAGAGAAGCAGCUGUGCACAGCUGAUACUAAUUUUCAGCUUAUAAAUAACUGAAACCAACAAAAGCAUCCAUAAUGAGCUUACUCACAAACUUAAAACUACUUGAUUUGCAGAAGCCACUUAAGAACAACAGGAUAUCUCCACUAUCAAACUAAGUUAAGUAUUUGAAAUCCCCUCUAUAAUGGAUUAAUAGAUAUCCAAAUAUUAGAUUACAUUGCAAAAGCCUAGUUGGUUGAAUUUGAUAAAGAAACAAAUAAUGAUAAUAUCAUCAAAAGUUCAGUUCUCGAACAAUUUUCAUUAGUUAACUCCUGUAUAAUUACACUGAAAAUAUGAAGAAAAAAAAUGUAUCCAUAUUAUUUUAUGCAAAAAAUGAGAAAAAUACCUUGCAACUAGCCACCAAAUCCAUAUUCAGUUUACAAUCUGUAGCCAAGCAAAAACCAGUAAUCAAAAACUUAAAACUCUCAAAAAAAAAAAAGCAAUCGAUCUAAUCAUCAAUAACCAAAACAAGACAGCUAAAUCUUAAAUUAAAUUAAAUUAAUCGAUCAAUCAUCAACCAAAAACAUAGAAUCAAUUUAAUAAACCUUACGAGUUCUCCGAUUAUGAAUAAAACAAAGGAAAAUUAAAAGAAAACUUGUGAUGGAUCGAAGGAACGUUGGGGAAAUAGGGUUCGAGCAGUGGAGGUCGCCGACUUUUUUUUCCCCUUUUUUUUUCUAUUGACCAAAGAGACCCAAGCAGAAGGAACCAAUUCCUUUGAAAAAUUUUACAAAAGUGACCGGACUUAUCGCCGAUUAUCGAAUUCGGUUUUUUGAACGGGAACACGUCCGGGUUUAGUUUCGGUGAAGUUGCGUGUUCAUUUUGUAAGAUACGCCCGCCCUUUUUUAUUAUUUUCUUUGGGAAUUUCGCGGUACUUAUGUACGUACGUUAACUGUAGCUAGCGGUUGAAUGUGAUUCUGCCACGUCAGUGCUUUUCUGGACUGAGAAAUGAUGGUGGACCUUUUUUAGCCGUUGAUUUUGCCGUGAAGUUUAAGUUUUUUCUUUGGCAAAUUUACAUUAUUGAGUCUUCAGUCUAACUUUAGACUUAUUACAAGUCAAUUAAUAUAAAUUAAUGUAAAAUAUUUGUUGAACAUUAAAAUAUUUUUUUUUAUAAUUAAGAAAUUAAACUUUAAAUUAUAUUUUAUAGUUGAAAUGAAUAUAAUAUUUAUUGUGUGUAUUAAUGAAAAUAUAAUUAAUAAUUUUUUCAACAUUUAUACUAUUAUUGAAUACCAAAUGUUAAUAAAAUUAUAAUAAAGUGUGGGGUGUACCUCAUAUUUUCGACUGAACAGAUAGCGAUAUUAUGAUAAGAAGCUUCUUGACGUUGUGACAAUAGACGACAUUGAGAUGAUGCGAAUGGAACGUUGCGACGUGUUUCCCACAUAAACCAUAUUUCUUCUCUCAGUUAAACUCUACUGUUGUUUCUAAGUAAACUCUAAUUACUUUAAGGAUAUUUUAGUCAUUUUAGUUUUUUAAAGUGGCCUUGUAUCCCUAUUCUGAAAGGUUAAUUAAGAGGCAAUUAAAUAUGUAGUAUUGCAAGGUUUUUUUUAGGGGGCGACAAGAUAUAGUCAUAGAUGAGUUUUGAUGUGAGUUUUUGUGGUAAUUACUGUGAGAAUUGUGUUCCAGUUUUAAGAAAACUCUAUGAGAGUUAGGGUUUUUGUUUCAAUGUUUGGGUUUAUAUGUUUAGUACAUCUAGGUUUAUUUUCUUCAUAUUAUAUUAUUAUUUGUUUACUUGUUUAGUGAAAAGUUGAAGCCUCAUUUACUCGUGGUAAUCCUCUUCAAAAGAGUUUUUCACAUAAAUAUUUGUGUUUUCGAUCUUCUCUACCAUUUCUAGUUUAUAAUUUAUACAGAUCAAUUCCAACAUAAAUUUGUUAAUUUUUUUACUAAUAUAUUUAUUUUUAAACAAAUGUAAUUUAACUUUAUAAAAAAACAUUAACAAAAUCUAACAAUUUUGUUUUUAAUCAUUAUAUUCAUUUAAAUUUUUAAUCACUAAACUCUUCAAUGAUUUUAUUCGAUCUUUUUUCUUUUAUUUUUAUGAUAUUUGUAUUUGUUUGCGGCUCUAUAAAACACUUCCUCUAAGCAAUAACAGAUUUUUAACACGUCUAAAAUGUUUAUAAUUUGGUGCCCAAUUAUCAAAUUUCCACAUUCUUGAAUAAUGUUAAAUUAUUGAUUAUAACUUUUUUUAUCAUAUUUGGAAAAUUUUUAUUAUUUUGGGUUUUUGCCUAUGAUUUUUUUUUCUGUUUUUAAAUUAAUUAAAUGUAGACAUUGUAAGGAAAUAAGAUUUUUAAUAAAUAAAUUAGUAAUGGUAAAAAAUAUUUAAGAUUUGGGGUUUUAAAAGAUUAAUAAAUCAAUGGUGAAAUUAGCAUUUAGGGUUUAAAUUUUUUUAGGGUACAAUAUAAAAGUAAAAAAGAAAAGAGGUUAAUGUAAGGGAAUAACUAAUUUGCAUGUUGAUAUUUGGAAUGCCACUCCCUAAAUUAGAAAAUCUGUCACAUGGUAGCGUGUCUGCACUAUUAGGCGGGUAUGUUUCAAAAGAGUGCAAAUGUCUUCCGAUAAUUAUUCUAACUUCUAAUGUAUAGUGGACUACUUAUAGACAAUUGAAGUCCAUUUUGUAUUUUGGUUGUAAUGACAUUUUUGUGGGUAAUUCAAAUAGAUUCCAAUUUAUUUAGGAGGUGACAGAAUAGAUUUAUAAUUUAUUUGGUGUUGAUAAAUGUAUCACAUUACAUAUUAAAAUUUAAACAAUUAUGAUGUGUUAUUUUAUUAACCGACGCUUAAAAAGUGACUUUUAUGGUUUAUAUUUGAGAUCCGAGAUUCGAGGCUAUAUUUUAUAAAACAAUUAAUAUAUUUUACGUUAAACAAACAAUUUACAUUAAAUUUACUAAAUAAACAUAUAUUAUUUGACUUGGAAUAAGUCUAAAGUUAACUUAGACUCGAAACCCAAAUAUUGUAAAUUGAAAAAUAAAAAGUAAAUUACAUCGAAAAUUACUAAAUUAUUAGUAAAUUGAUGUUUUGAAAAACUUAACUUUAGAAAGUUAUAAAAUGAUCAUUGAACUAUUUGAAGGUUUUCAUUUAAGUUACUAAGCUAUUCUGGAGUUUUUAGUUAAGUCACUGAACUAUUCAAAUGUUUUUAUUUAAUACAUUGGGUUAUUAAGAUUUUUUUUUAAGUUCGACUAGUGAGUUUUAAGUGAUGAUUCAAUGACUAAUGCUGACUCAUCGACAAGUAGAAAAACAUAUAUAAAAAGUCCAAGUUGAUCUCACGGCCAAUGUCAAAGAUUGGAGAAAAAGACUAUUUGAAUUUUGGUUUGCAAAUUCAUGAUGUUCAAAGUUGGUUAAUAAGAAAAACCUAAAUUGUAGAAGAGAAUAGGAAGAAGAACUUUGAAUUUGUGCAAGCGAUGCAAAUAGAGAAGGUCAUACAACAAUAAUCUUAACAGUCUAGUGACUUAAAUAAAUUUUUUUAAUAAUACAAUGAUUAUUUUGUAAUUUUUUGAAAUUAAGGGUCUGUUUGAUAGCCAGUAAAAUGUUUUCCGUAAAAUGAUUUUUGGAAAAUGUUUUACUUUUCUGUAAAAUGAUUUACUGGACAAUAUUUUCUGGUGUUUGAUUGAAUCUGUGUAAAAUAUUUUCUGCUGUUUGGCAGAUUCCUUGAAAAUAUUUUCUGAAAAAGUUGUUUUUACAUAUAUUAAUAUAUACUAAUAAAUUUUUAUAUUUUAAAUUAUUUUUACAUAUAUUGCAAUGAUUUAUUUAUAAUAAUACUCAAUUAUUAAGCUACAAUAUUAAUUGUUAUAAAUUGAAAAAAACUAAUAUCAAAUAAAUUAUUUGUAAUUGUGUUAAAAAAACAAGUAUUGAAUAAUUAAAAAAAUAAAUUACUGGAAAAUCGAUAAAUAGAAGCAGUUUUCUACCGGAAAUGAAGGAAGGAAUGAAGGAGGCGAUAAAGAGGAGAGCACGGAAAAUGUCUUACAGAAAUUAAAAGGGUAAGACAUUUUCCCUAAAAAUGUAACUCAUUUUGCCUUGUUUUGGAGUUCAUUUUCCAAAUGUAAAAUGUUUUCCGCCAAUCAAAUGCUGGAAAAGUUGAAAAUGAUUUUUCGGAAAAUCAAUUCCGUCAAUCAAACAGACUCUAAGUAAGUAAAAUGUAAACUUACAACUAAAUUAGUAACUUUUUGGUGUAGUUUAUUCAUAUCCAAAAUGAAAAAAUCUUGAAAAAUUCACGGCAAAAUCAACGGCUGAAAACGUCCACCAUCACUUCGCACUACAAAAAAGUACUGACGUGCCAGAAUCAGAUCCCAAUGAUACUUAGAUUCAACGUACGUACAGAAGUACCCCAAAAUUUCCCGGAAAAAAGAAUAAAACAGCACGGGCGUAUCUUACAAAAUGAACACGCAACAGCACCGAAACUAAACCCGGACGUGUUCCCGUUCAAAAAACAGAAUUCGAUAAUCGGCGAUAAGUCCGGUCACUUUUGUAAAAUUUUUCUAAGGAAGUGGUUCCUUUUGCUUGGGUCUCUUUGGUCAAAAAAAAAAAAAGGAAAAAAAAGUCGGCGACCUCCACUGUUGGAACCCUAUUUUCCCAUUUUCUCUUUGAUUCAUCACAAAUUUUCUUUUAGUUUUCCUUCAUUUUAAUCAUUAUCGGAGAACCCGUAAGGUCCAUUAAUUUGAUUCUAUGUUUUUCUUUGAUGAUUGAUUGAUUAAUUUAAUUUAAUUGAAAAUUUUAGUGGUUUUGUUGUGGUUAUUGUUGAUUAGAUCGUUUGAUUAUUUUUUGAGAGUUUUAGGUUUUUGAUUACUGGUUUUUGCUUGGUUACAGAUUGUAAACUGAAUAUGGAUUUGGUGGCUAGUUGCAAGGUAUUUUUCUCAAUUUUUUUCGUAGUAUAAUAUAGAUUCAUUUUUUCAUAUUUUCAGUGUAAUUAUAUAGGAGUUAACUAAUGAAUAUUGUCUGAGAACUGAAAUUUUUAUGAUAUUAUAUGUUUAUUUCUUUAUCAAAUUCAAUCAACUAGGUUUUUGCAAUGUAAUCUAAUGCUUGGAUAUAUGGUAAUCCAUUAUAGAGGGGAUAUAAAAUACUGAACUUAGUUUGGUAGUGGAAAUUUUCUGUUGUUCUUAAGUGGCUUCUGAGAAUCAAGUAGUUUUAAGUUUGUGGGUAAGCUCAUUAAGGAUGGUUUUGUUGCUUUCAGUUAUUUUUUAAGCUGAAAAUUCGUAUCAGCCGUCCACAACGGCUUCUCUAACUUUAUUUUAUACCAACACUUAAAUUAUGGAAAUUUUGUACUUAUCAUUAUAUUAUUUUGUUAGUCAGAGUAUAAGACUAAAUUCUUAAGCUGAAAGUUAGUAAAUAUAUUUAUAUGUUUUUGAUGCUUGUUAGGCUUGAUGCUAAUACAUUGAUGCCUUUUUUGUUUAUCUUUAAAAGAAAUUGUCCACGGAGAGCUAAUCCCAAUAUGUUUUCCUAUUAUAGGAUAAAUUGGCAUACUUCCGAAUAAAAGAACUCAAGGAUGUUCUCACUCAAUUGGGUCUUUCAAAGCAGGGGAAGAAGCAGGUUAGCAGAGGCUUUAGAUGAUGCUCUGUAUUUUACUUGGUUCAUCCUCUUGUUUGGAAUGCUUCUGUUGAAUCUUGUUCUUAUUGCCCUGUGUUCAUGGUUCACUCUGUUUUUACUUUUUUUCAUUUCUCUGCAUAUAGCUAGUAAAUAUUUUAACUUUUUAACAGUUUUUGGUGAGAUCACAUUAUUAUUAUUUUUAAAGGGUAGGUGUUAAGUGGAUUUUUUACUUCUCUUUUUCUCUUCAUGCUUGUUCUUUUUGUUUGCACCAAAUGGUAUUUUGAGUGUGCUGAGGUGAAUCAUGAAUUUUCACUCGUUUGGUGUGUUGCUCCUAAGUUUUUAAACUAUUUACGGGCAGCAGAUUUAGCAAGAGCCUUAAAAAUUUUGGGGGCUAUGAUAAUUGUUCUUUUGUCAGUUAUCAGUAUUUUUAAUAUAAUUUGCAACCUCAUGGUGUAGGAUUAUAUUUGACCUUUCUGUAAAUCUCACUUGUAGGACCUUGUUGAGAGGAUAUUAGGAGCUCUUUCUGAUGAACAAGGUAAAAUGUUCUUUUCCUAGCUGUUCCUUCUGUUUGAAAAGGGAGCUUGUAGCCUCCAUAGUAAUUUAUGGAUUAUAUUUUCUUUUAAAUGUUUCUUUCUGGCACUACUUUUGCUAUCUUGUGACAUAUGUUAUCAGAGUGCUAGUAUUUAGCUGUUGAUGUUAUUGUGUCUUCAACUCAAUCAUAGUCAUACUGUUGGAUGUGAAAUGUAUGUUGUUUUCAGUUUUAGGGUGUAGGUCAGGUGCGGGGUCUCGGGAUGCAAUCAAGGAUAGUAAUUAUGCACCCGUUGUUCUGCCUAGUUAUACUUUUCUUCUAGUUUCUCAGGGUCACCGAUAUUGCAGCAUUUAACCCUUUGAUCUUCUAAUUUCAGUAUACUUUGUUGACAUUCCAAUGGCUCUUUGUAAUUUUUGUUAAGAGUGCAGUGUCUUGGGGAAGGUUGUAGACGAGUAUGCUUUUCAGUUGAAUUUUCACAUUUUCUGAUUUUUAGUGUCAUUAGACUGCAAUUAAUUCAGAUUUGGCUCUUAAGUCUGUUCAGAAACUACUACGUUCUGCUUUUAUAAUAAUGUAGGGCUUGCUUUCUGAUUUUCAGUUACGAAGAUGUGGGCAAAAAGGACUCCUGUGGGGAAGGAAGAUGUAGCAAAACUUGUUGAUGAUAUAUACAGGUUUGUAUUUAAAUUAGUUUGGAAUUAGUUUUUUUCCCUUCUGCGAACAAGGGCCGACUUACUAUUUAGAUAAGAUGAUGCUGGCUUACUGGAUUUAGCAUAUCAGGUUAUUAUAUGCAUUGAUUUUCUUUAUUUCCUCUUUCUAAAGUGUAUUUCUUGUCCUCAGGAAGAUGAAGGUUUCUGGUGCUACGGAAUUGGCAUCAAAGGGACAGGGUGUGUCAGACAGUAAUAAUGUUAAAAUUAAAGGAGAAGUAGACGAUCCCUUUCAACCAGAUGUGAAAGUUCGUUGUCCUUGUGGAAACUCAUUGGAGACUGACUACAUUAUCAUGGUAAUGAUAAUGAGCUUAAUGUUCUUUUCCUCAUUUUAUGUCGAAUGAUAUGGAUGUCACAAUUGUAUGUUUGGCAUUUUGGGGUGACCAGCUAUUUAAGAUUGUUUCUCUGGCUUUUCAAAUUGGGAUUUGUGUUUGCUUGAUACAAAAUAAUAUAUUAUGCUCAAUUUUUGUACUAUUUACUGCCUUUUGGUGGUAUCGUCUUAUGAUUUAGAAUUUUUGCGCCUUGACUUGCACACGCAAGCUAAGUCUUCAAAUCUCUAUCCAUGAAGUUGGUAGUUUUUCUAAAAUUCUUGAGGCUGUGAUCUUAAUGAAUCUAAUGACUUGUUUGACUGAUUUUGUUGGAUUUGAUAAUAAAGGCCAAUUUUGAACAAGUGUAUAGACUCGUGCACUCUAGACUUUCUCCUGGAUUUUCUUCUUGCCCUUUUAAUUUACGAUGGAACCGUUCAUCUCCCAUAGGUUGACAUUUAGCUCAAAACUGAAGUAGGUGCCUUUCCCAGUGGCCUUUUUCUGCAAUAGGUAUAUUCUAAUUCAGUUUUCUAGGUUUGUCUACUUUCAUAUGAAUCUUGCCCUGAUGCAAUUGCAUGAUAUAGCUUGCUUCUCCUGUUUUUUUACUUUUAUUGCCUGCUUUUUAUUGUUUCUAUUCAUAAUUUCAAUUUGUAUCAUAUGCUUUUCUCCAUUUUGAGAAUGGAUUCAUGAAUUCUGAGGACAUCGUUUUCUUAUUUUCCUCUACAAAAUUGUGCUUCUUGCAUCUUAAAUUGAGUUAUUGAUGUUUUUGCUUUCUCUCAUUGCUCUAUGCAGUGUGAGGAUCCAAGAUGCCAAGUAUGGCAACACUUUGGUUGUGUUAUAAUUCCAGAGAAGCCUAUGGAGGGAAACCCGGCAGUUCCUGAUUUCUUUUAUUGUGAGCUUUGUCGACUGAAGCGAGCUGAUCCGUAUGUCUCUCCUCUGUUUAUGUGUGUCUGUGUUUGUAUCCGUGUGCUUCCAAAUUGUGUGAUCACAUCAUAAUUGAUGAUCAAUCUUCUUACUGGUUACAGUUUGGUUAUUGGCUGAAGUUCAAUGUCAUAAUAUAGAAAUAUGCCAAUUAUAUUUUAUAGUUCAGAUCUAACUGAAUGUGUUCUAUCUUUAUAAAUGUUACAUAACAGACGUUUAUAUAUUAGUUUGGUUGGAUAAAGUUUGUUAUUAGGAUGCAAGAUUUGUAAAUAUUAUCUUACUUUUGUACCUUCCGCAACCUAGGGAGGAGAAGGGGAAAAAAGAGAUGAGUGUGAGGAAAUGUAAGAACUAGUUUUUGGUAGUGCACAUAAAAUCAGUGUUGUAUAGGGGUGCGCUUAGGUGUGCCUGCACAUUGUGCCUUAGUGGUGGACAACAAAAGCACCUUAGACAUUGCAAAAUACUGUUAUUUGCAGCUAUAAUUAUAUGCCUAUAUUGAUGUUCAAAAAGUUAAUACUGAAUCAUCCUUAUUAUUGAAGGAAGAUGCUAUUCGUCAAGCAGUUAGUGCUUGCUGCACCUUAUAUUUGUUUUCUACUGUGAACACUUCAUGAAGCAUUUAAAUGGUAUGCACUUGUAUGUAUAUAGUAUCCAUCUGGAUGCAUCAAGAAUAUCCUUUUCCAGGCUUAACAUUAGUGAGUUAGGAAAUACUGUUCAAUCAGUUAUACCUUGAUUUUAUGUUACAUCCUUUUAAAUCUUGAUUUGGUUCUGAAUGUGCAGUUUUUGUCUUACUAUUGCAAACCCUUUAUAUCCAGUGAAGUUGGCGAUUGCAAAUAUCCCUACUGAUGGGUAAGUUUACUAUAUGAGAAAUACUAGAGCUCUUCCCCCUCCCCAAAAAAGAACAGAAAAACAAUUUACUGCUUGUUUUGGUGUGAAUAUCAUUAUACUGUAAUCUCUAAUGCUUUGUGACCUCACUUAUAGUAGUUUAUUUAGUGAUACAUAUCCUGCAUUUUGCAGUACAAAUCCAAUGCAAAGCGUGGAGAAAACGUUCCAAAUCACCAGAGCAGACAAGGAGUUGUUGUCCAAACAAGAGUAUGAUGUCCAGGUUGACUAGUGCCAAAAAAAAGUGUGCAGUUUGGUAUAUUGCUUUUUGUUAUUUAUCAUGAUAUUUUUGUUUUUCUUCUUGUCAAAUAGGCAUGGUGCAUGCUUCUGAAUGACAAAGUUCCAUUCAGGAUGCAGUGGCCUCAAUAUGCAGAUUUACAGGUCAAUGGUACGAGUAUUAAUGGUUUUCUUUGACUACUUAGCAGUUUAUUGCUCCUUUUACGGCUUAAUUAUUUUUCUACUGUUUAUUGAGGAGCAUACUUGGAUCUAGCUAAAAGGGAAAAUAAAAUAAAAGAAGGAAGCAUGUUUAGUUUUUUUUUGCCUUGGAUUUUUCCUAAUUGCAACUUUGUUCUCCAGCUCGAAAUCAAUAUAAUUUUUAUGCAUUUUUCUAUUUCAACUUUGAUCAGUAACUGAGAGUUUUUUAAACAGGUGUUCCUGUUCGUGCUAUUAAUAGACCUGGCUCUCAAUUGCUCGGGGCUAACGGUCGUGAUGAUGGUCCUAUUGUAAGUUCUGUCCUAUAAUCAUAUGCUCCUUAGAAUUUACACUUUACAUGUUCCUGCAUGUGUCUGGAAUGGAUGGGGAAGCCUGCCGGCAGGUUAUUGAGCCUGUUACUUCUUGUUAGCUACCUAAGAAACAUCCAUUGUCUGAACACUUGUUUAUUGUGUAUUUUGUGGCCAGAUAUCUCCAUUUAUUAAAGAUGGAAUUAAUAAGAUAACUUUGACUGGAUGCGAUGCUCGCGUGUUCUGUUUUGGAGUUAGAAUAGUUAAACGACGAACUGUUCAACAGGUAUGUUCAGAACUUCAACCCUAUAUGGAUUGUUCAUACACUGGAAUUGCAAGAUUGAUUUCUUUGCUGUCUGGGAAUUUCUGUCGUAAAAAAAUAUAUAUGUUCCUUUUUGCAAAAUAAAAAGCUCAGCAUAUAAUGUUAUUUUCCAAUGCCUGCUAAUUCUUUGAUUACUUUAGGCAGUCUAGAUUGGUUUGCUCACAAAGCAGAACAGAAUGCAAAUAUAUUUAGUGCUGUCAUAGUUGAUCAUGUUAUUUUCAUUUGACUGCAUCGGAUUUAUGUUUCAUGUUUUCUGCAAAAAUGACUACAGAUUAGACAUUUGACUGCCUAUUAAUUAUUGCAUGGCAUUUUGGGUGAGGUGCCUGUGUCAGUAUGACAUUGAAAUGGGUAUGGGAUCCAAUAAAUUAGGCUGGGGAGAAUGCCACUAAAUUAAUUGGUUUCCUGAGGAAAGCUUUUUUGCCACCUUAUUUUCCCCUUUUGCCUUCUUCAAUUACUUUAAAAAUCUUAAUACGACCUGAUGAACAAGAGCGUGUCAUCAAUGAAGGUAAUCAGAGGAAAAGAAUGAAGAACAAAGAGGGAAUGGUGCUUUAUCAAGGCUGUAAUUUUAAUAAUUAACUUGAAGAGCUGGAAAAACUGGAGAGACUACUGUAGAGGAAAAAACUAGAAAUGAAGAGAAGGAAAUUGUGAGAUCAGAUUUGGGGCUUUCUAAUCUUUGUUAUGCAAAGGGCUCCAUUCUUCACUUUAUUAACAUGGUCAACUGAGUUUUUUUUUUGGUUCCUUUAUGGAUCGUUUAUUGUGCAUACUGUUGCCUGUUGGUUUGCAUAAUAUGGUCCCCUUUCAAUAGAAUAAUUGAGAAUUUAAGAAGUAAUGAGAUUUCUGCCUGAAUUUAUUUAAAUGUUUUGGGCUGGUAAUGAGGUUUACAUGCUUUUAUGAUUUUGGUUUGUUUUUUAGUUUCGGAACCAAAAAUAUCUAGUUUUAGCGCUAGAUAAUGUAUUUUCUCCUACUAAUGGAAAUAUUAGGCACUUUCUUUUUCUUCGGCCACAUAUUAUCAUAUGGCUUAGUACUAUAGAUUAAACUACAAACCCUGCAUGGGUAUGCAGCCCAAACUAACUUGCCUAUCUCUACUAUGCCUGUCCUAGAUACUCAACACGAUUCCUAAGGAGAAUGAAGGUGAACGUUUGGAAGAUGCUCUUUGUCGCGUUCGUCGUUGUGUUGGUGGUGGAACUGCAACUGACAAUGGUGAUAGUGACAGUGACCUAGAAGUUGUUGCAGAUUUUUUUGGAGUCAACCUACGCUGCCCUGUGAGUUAUACAGUUUUAUAAUAUGCUAGCGAUCUAUUGCCUAUAUUUCUGCUGAUUUGCACGAUUUUUGUUCUAAAAAUAUUACAUGCAAUUGAUUAGGCAUCAUUUUUCAAGUAUUUAAUUAGUGUAGUUUGUGAAGCAUCUCUAGAAUAGAUGGUUAUGUGCCCUGCAAAAUUCGUGGAUCAAAUUCUUGUAGCAUCACUUAUGUGUCAGCUUAGUUACUGUAAAAUGUUAAUAGUGGAGGAAUCUAACUUCUUCAUGUGUACAUGGUUGUAUUAACAUUGGUAGAGGCUAUUAUGCAUGUUUACUUGUGCAUGGUCAUUAAUGAAUAAAAACCGGACAGGAGGUGAAAUUGUGACACCCCUGGUUCAACCGGUUGAACUGGAGUGUUCAGUUAAAAAUAAUUUAGUAUUAAACAUGUCUUUUAUAUUUAAUAUUCAAUACAAAUUAUUAGUUGAUAAGAAUUUGUAUGUCUUUACAUAUGAUUAAUUAGAAGUUCAAAUCUCAUCACUUGUAAAUAAUAAAAUUAACAAAAAAAUGGUUAACUACUGUGUUAGUUCAUGUACCUGAAUAGAUUUCAGUGCCAACCAAUUUGAAUGGACUAUUUCUUCACUGUGCUCUCCUUUUACCGUUGCUUUGUGAUAUUCAUUUUUAUUUGCAUAUCCUUGACAGAUGAGCGGCUCAAGAAUGAAGGUCGCUGGAAGGUUUAAGCCUUGCGUUCACAUGGGUUGUUUCGAUCUUGAAGUUUUUGUGGAGCUUAACCAACGCUCUAGGAAGGCAAGCUACAAUAUUACAGUGCUUGUUAUUUUUUGUAAUUCUUUCAGGCUUUUUGACAAGCAUUAGCAUGAAUGCAGUGGCAGUGCCCAAUUUGCUUGAAGAACUACUCACUGGAACACAUUAUAAUUGAUCCUUAUUUUAAUCGCAUCACAUCCAAGGUCAGUACCCUGUUCUAUAUUUAUCUUCAUGAUGUCAAUUUGUGAUAUUGAUGAUCGGCUAUCAUACAGAUGAGCAAUUGUGGCGAAGACAUUACUGAGAUUGAGGUCAAGCCUGAUGGUUCUUGGCGUGCAAAGGCUAAAAGUGAAAAUGAACGCAGAGAGCUUGGUGAUCUUGCACUAUGGCACUCUCCUGACAGUACCCUAUGUGAAUCAGGCAGUGUGGAGGAUAAGCCAACAGCUGAAAUUUCGAAGCAGAUCAAACUUGAAGGUACUUCUGAAGGACAGACAGGUUUGAAACUCGGAAUAAAGAAGAAUCAAAAUGGGUACUGGCAGUUUAGCAAGCCUGAAGACUUGAACAACUCUUCUGCUAGUAGAUUACAAGACAGGCUACGUCAUGAGCAAAAAUUUUUACCAAUGAGCAGCAGCGCUACCGGAAGUGGUAAGGAUGGUGAAGAUGCCAGCGUAAAUCAGGAUGCUGGUGGAACUUAUGACUUUACAAGCAACGGGAUUGAACUUGAUUCUGUGCCUCUGAACGUAGAUUCAGCAUAUGAAUUUACUGACCAAAACCAAUCUGCAACAGCAGGAAAUGCAGAAGUUAUUGUUCUUAGUGAUUCAGAUGAAGAGAAUGAAAUAUUGAUAUCUCCUCCAACUGUGUAUAAGGAUAAUCACAACCAAAAUGAUGGUGGGGGACUUGGUUUUCCGGUUGCACCUCCUGGAAUUUCUCAUCCAUAUUCAGAAGAACCACCUCUUGGGCCUGCUGCUAAUUUGGGUCUUUUUACUCCCAAUGAUGAAUUCGACAUGCCUCUGUGGUCAUUACCUUCGGGAUCUCAAGAUGGUUCUGGGUUUCAACUAUUUAAUACAGAUCCGGAUGUUGCAGAUACCUUAGUUGAUCUGCAGCGAAGUUCUCUCAAUUGCCCUUCGACAAUUAAUGGUUAUCCAUUGGCUCCUGAGACAACAAUGGGAUCUACAACUCUAGUCCCUACUUGUUCCAUUGGUCAGGUUGAUACAAAUCUAAAUGACAGCUUGGUUGACACUACCCUCUUUGGUGGAGAGGAUCCCUCACUUCAGAUAUUUCUUCCAACGCAUCCUUCAGGUGCAUCAGCAGAGUCUGGUUUCAGAGAUGAAGCUGACGUAUCGAACGGCAUCCGUACCGAUGAUUGGAUCUCACUUAGUCUUGGAGGUGGUGCAAGUGUCGGCCAUGGGGACUCGACAACUGUGAAUGGAUUGAAUUCAAGGCAACCAAUACCUUCCAAAGAGCGUGCUAUGGACACUGGUUAGUUCCCUUGCUCUUUUGGAAAAAGCGCUAUAUUAAAAAUUUGGAAAAAAAUGUAUAUACUUGUAUCUGGCACACAAGUUUGAGAUUAGUAAUUCACCGCAUUAGAAUUUUUCCUAGCUCCAUCACUGUUCUGAAGUUUCUAGCAUUGAUUGUUACUUCCUUCUGCAGCUUCUCUGUUGCUUGGUAUGAAUGAGAGUAGAAAUGGGAAGUCAAGUAGGCAAAGAACAGAGAGCCCUUUCUCAUUUCCUCGGCAAAAACGGUCAGUUCGACCAAGAUUAUAUCUCUCUAUUGACUCAGACACCGAGUAAUUGUGUUCGCAUAAAUUUAACGGCAACUUGUGGAUAAAUUUGGUGAUCACUCAUGAAGAACUGGGCUUGCAUUUCAGUUAAAACACGAAAUUAAAAUUUUCAGAAUGAAAGUGCUGCCAAAUUAAAAAGAAGGGGGCAGCUUCAACGUUGCUGUGUUGAUGACUUUUCCGAGGUGAGGUCGGAACAGGAGGCCUUCAAUUCCUGUAAGUGUUGAAACCUCAGAUUCUAAUACUAGUUUAUUCUAGGCGUGGUAGCAUAAAACAAGCAGUUUUUACCUAGAGUUAAAAAGCACUGAGGGAGGUCGUUUUUGAGUAAAAAUGUACAGUUAAAAUGGAAUUUUGGGUAAAUGGAUAUGCAUGCAGUUGUGGGGGGUGAAGUGAGCACAAAAAGAUUCCACCUAUUUUGCCUAUUUUUUGGUCUAAAAGACAGUUGGGAUCAAAUAGAUUUGUAAAUUCACUUAAAUUCAUAUAGAAACCCCCUUUUUUUAUUUUAAUUGUAUUCCUUUUGGCUGAAAAUUUUCCUUUGGCAUUGCUGCUAUAUUUUUAAUAGAUGCAUGCGUAGCUUUGUUAUGGUGCAUGACACUUAGGAUCUGGUAUGAUUAUUAUUGUUAUUAUAGGGGUUCAUGGAAAUCGGAUCUAGUUGGGUCAAGCUGUUGACAUGUAUAAUAUUGAUCAAUAUCGUAUAUAUUUUGUUUACAUAUAUGAUAUAUCAUUAUUUGUACAACAGUUUAGGUCAUAAUGUUUUGCAAUUGAGUAAAUUACGGUAGUAAUCACCUAAUUAUGGAUUUUUUAAACACUCAAUUAUGAAAUAGACUCAACCGCUAGUAAACUUUUUUUUAUUAAAAGUUAUAAAAUGGUGAUUUAACCAUUUAAUUGUCUUUUUUUUGUCAUCUAAUUAUUUUUAAUUUUUGGGUGUUUUUUACUUUUAUAGUAGUCAGCUGAGUGAGUUUACACCCCUUGCAAUUUUGGUUUCUGGUAUUCAUGUUUCUUCGUAGAAGAAUAGUGUUUUAGAUUCUUUUUAUAAAAUUUUGAAACAUUAUUGUUAUUACUUAUAUCAUAAUGAUGUCCAUAUCUUUGUAAAAAAAAUGCGAAAAUUAAUUCUUUUAAAAAAGUUGUCUUAAAAAUGUCUUGAAAUUUUCAUAUAUAUAUUUUUUAAAAUUAAAAACUUUAAAAAAAUAAUCGAAUGAUUGUUGUAUUAUUUUAACUUUCACCUUCGGCAUGUCUGGUAAUAUAACGUAAAAUAAUAGAAAUUAUGUGAACAGAUACCAGUUAAAAUAUUUUAUCCUAAAACAUAAAACAUUCAUGUUUAGCAAGAAGGAAGAACAUGAAACUGCAACAGUAAUGCAAAAAAAGCUAACAAAGUCUUAGUCUUCAUUUUCAGGUUGAAGAACUGAGAGCAAAUUCAAAGCUGAAGAGCCGAUAUGCAUUCCUCGAACUAUGCCUCCAUAUCCAUCUUUUAUUCUGUGGCACAAUAACAAUAUUGAAUCCCACAGUGCUGUUCUCCCCUGAAAAACAUAUACAUGCCAUCAAAUUUUUUGAUGAACUUAACCUCGGGACUAAAAUUCAUGUCAGACUCAUCCACUAUCCAAGUAACAUGGCAUCUAACUCGUAUGUGUUUACGUCUUUUCCAUCAACCAAAGAUUUGUCCAAAUGAAUCUUAACUAUCCAACCACGACAAUACUACAUUUCCAACGAUUAACAAGAACUGCAAUUAUUCACCCUUAUAUCAUCUUCAGAUGCUGAUAUGGAAUUUCUUUAGUAGUUAUUAAUAACUAUGUCAUGCUAUUUACUACCUAUGAAAAAGUAGUUAAAAUAGAGCUUUACCUGAAGAGAGAACUGCAAUUUCUUGUCCCAGUAUAAGGCGAAAAUGGGGAGACUCUGUUUCCCUAUUGCCAGUAUGCAAGCUCCAGGAUGAAGGGUCGAAGGAACACCAGAUAAAAUAGCAAUGUACUUCUCUGGAAUCCUGUCUCUCGGCAAGGUUCCGAAGAACAAGGGAUUCUUACUAGAUUGAGCUCCAGCAUACGAAGUCGGGUCAACAUGUAACAUCCAUUUUGGAUGCUCUAGAAAUGCGCAAAACAGGUACAAGAGUAAGUGAGAAUCAGUUGGUAGUUCGUGAGUCCAUUUCUUGUUUUUUUUAUCGUAAACAUCCCCAUUUCCUUGAUACUCGUAAUUCUUCAAACAGGUUCCAUCAGCAAGUUCUGUGCAAACAAAUAGUGAUUCCGUAAUUUAGGUACACUGAAAAGUCUACCAAUGCAAAACAGAAACUGAACAUUAAAGGGACUGUUGAAAAUACCUCGAAUUCUUCGUACUGUAUAAUCAGCUCUGACACUGUUUUGUGGCAGCAACCCCUUCAUCCACUCACCUUUCAUCAAUGCAUGAAGCUUUUGGUGUUCGGUAAUGGCAUCAAUACACUCCUGCAUAACGGGGAUAAAAGGAUUUUGUUGAGGGAAUUGUAGUUGGUUGGCUAUAGGCUUAGCUGUAUUUUAUCAAAAAAAGUACCAUUAGCUAAGAUCGAUAAAACUCAACAAAUGCAAAAAAUAAAUAAAUGAAAGACAGCAUCGGGAGAACUUACGCGUGGAUGCCUCAAGAGUUUGAACAAGAGUUGCACGUAAUUGAUGGAGUAGCCCUUCUUCCUCAAGAGUGAAUGAUGGUUGCCAUUCCUUUGACCUAUCAGGCGGAGACAAAACAGCCGGAUUUCCAUUGGUUGAUGGAUCAUUUCCUACUUGAUUAAUGGUUACAGAGAUAUUAAGUUUAGCAGCCGCUUUCAUUACCUAUAAGCAGAGGAUUUGUGAAUCUCGUAAUUAAAUAUUUCCUGGGAUUCCUCUCAAAAUUAUUGAAAACAUCAUAAAGCUAAAACAUCAUAACAUGACGAGAUUAUAUGGUGAAACUAAAAUGAUAGCAUAGAUGAGCGAAUGAAAAACCUGAAUGUGACUGGUUUCAAUUUUGUUCAGUAGAGGGUUUAGUAGAACCGAAGAAAACCAUUGUCUGAGUCGAUCACGCCAGUGCUCAAUUUGAGGAUAGAUUCCCAAAUGCCCAAAAGCUUCAACAUACUCCUCCAUUGACAUCGGAGGUGGAAGCUCGCCUUCUCCUUUCUUCGGAGGAGUGGUAAAUUUUUGGGAACCGGGAGACAUCCUCACAGGCCUCAGUGGUGUACUUCUUGUAGUUCCAGAUGUAUUAGCUGAACUUGCAACAGUAUUCGGACUAGCUAUUCCAAAUCCACUGAUGGUUGGUGGUGGGGUAGCUAGUUUUCCUGCUGAUUCGGUGAUUUUCUCAUCUACUUCGGCAAGAAACUGUUCAAGUUGCUCUUCUGUUGUAAUUUCUUUGGCAUAGGAGGAUCGCUUAGUGGACCAUGGGGUUUUCACUAGAGGCUCUUGUCCCGGUGAAGUUUGACGAGAAGAUAAUGACGAAGUGGAUGCCGGAACAAGAUAUAAUGAAGAAGGGGAGCCCUGGGAUCUGGAUGGUGUAGCAAAAGGGCUCAUCUUAUUUCCACCACUGGUAUUUGAUUUAUUAGAGCUAGCUAGAGACUUACGAUCUGAGCCACUAAUUGAUGGAUGAAGUGGUACAAGAACAUCCGAAGAAGAUAAUGCUGCCAGGGGUUUGGACUUGGGAGGUUUCUUAGAAGAAUCCGGUGCAACUUGCUCAACCUUCGAUUUUACUCCUAAAAGCCCCAGCUGACGCUUUGUUAGGUUAGGUUGAUUUUUAGUUCCUUUAGAAGGAGAUACAAGUGACAAACAACUACUGGUGCUCUUGCUUCGAUGCCAAGAGAUAGCUUUGAAUAAGGCAAAAACUGUUCCAACAAAAACUACACCUGAUGCAACUUGUACUGCCUUGGCAAAUAUAUCUGAAGCACCAAUAACACAUUUCAAUAACAGGAAAUAGAGCACUUAAAUUCAAGAAUCAAAGGAAUUAAAUCUGCAAAUGAUAACUUACAAGCCACUUCAUCGGACAAAUUUCCGAACUUAAAUUUAUCAGCGAACCCAUUUCCACUACAUCAAUGUGAGAUAAAAUGAUUGUGUUAGUGAAAUGAAAACACAUUCAAAUUGAAAAAAAAGUAUAGACAAGAAAGACAAAAGUCGGUAGCAUUUAAAAGGUUAGUUUUCUCCAUUUGAAAGCAGAGCAAAGGAAGAAAAACUCAAAUUUGGCUAGAUGAUUAUCGAGUUGAGCUCAAGCAGUUGACCAAGCUGAACUUGAGUAUCCUUAUGUUCGACUCAAGUAGCUUGGCAAUGUAAUAGCCUUUUUAAAUUUAUCAUAUCAAUACAUACUUUGAGCCUAAAAAUCCAAGAUUGAAGUGAAACAUGAGAAUCAAAUUCAUAUUUACUAAGUACAGAGCUUAAUUGAUUGUAUUCAAGCAAGUUCGAGUUGUUUGAUUUUUAUCUCAAAUCGAACUCAACCUUAAAAGGUGAAAACAUAACGAGUUAGACACAAGUUUUCGAGGUUCAAAUUUUGAACCGAACUAGAAUUCCUUACUGCUUGAGCUCAAACUCUGACUUCGAUUACACCCCUAAAUCCUACUAAUUACCUAACCCUAAUCCUAUCUCUGCUUGUCUCUUACUAAAUGAUGCAUAUUGGCCUGCAACAGUCCACAACAUAUCAUCGAACUACCUUUCCAUUGAUGAUUCCCUUACAAACCUCGGCUUUCUUUUAAGUAUUCAUUGAAACAAAAAGGAUCGUUUAAUGCAUUUUUCUUCAGAAACAAAAUGCAUAUCCAUCACUAGAGAGAAGAAACAAAACCCUUUUUGCUUAAACCCUCCUAGAACCCUAAAACAACCGCCAUAUGUAUAAAAUGUAUGUAUAGCAGGAAAAGACUUGAAACUAUUGCGUUUAAUGAAACAAAAGAAAAAGCCCAAAAAGGGGAAAGUAAAGAACCUGUAAAUUGUGGAGAGGAGAGCAAAUGCAGAAGCAGAGGAGAGAGAAAGGAUACAAAGAAAAGUUGAUUUAGAGGGCUUUAAACUUGUCGCCGUUAAAGCGGCGGAUAACGUGGGGUUUUGGUAGACAGAGAACUUAGAGGGCUUCGACGGCGGCGAACCCCUGUCUUGGCCGGCGGCAGCUUCCAUGUUUUAACCGCGAAAUUUGGGGAUUUUGAAAGAGAUUUGUCUCUUUUUUUCUGGGUUUAUGGCACCCCGCUCUAUUCUCUAGCAGCUUUAGGAACUUAAGCACAGACUGAACAGUCACGUUGGUUUCAAAAAAGGGUUAGGGUAAAGUACAACUAAGGUCAUGAAAUUAUUAAUAAAUUUAUAUUUUGACCAUUUAACUUCAAAAAGUUACAAAAUGAUCACUAAACUAUUUUAAAAUUUUAUUUAAAUCACUGAACUAAAUUAUUUAAAAAAAAGUUUAUUUAAGUUAUUAAAUUAUUAAGGUUUCUUUCUUAAAUAUGACUGGUAAGCUCCAAACGAUAAUUUGACAAUUAAUAUGGUGAAUUAGUACCUAUCAAUACGUAAAGUAACAUAUCUAAUAUUUAAGCCAAUCUAACGGUUAGUGUCGAAGUUUUGAAAAGAAAGUUAUUUAGACUUUGGUUUGUAAAUUCGUGACAUUUAAAUGUGUUUCAUGAAAAAACUAAAUUGUAAAAGAGAAAGGGAACGAGAGCUUUUGAUCUGUGUAAGCGAUACGAAUUGAAAAAGCCAUACAACAGUGAUUUUGUAACUUUUAAAUAGUCCAAUAACUAUUUGUAACUUUUUGAAGUUAAGUGACUGAAACAUAAACAUACUAAUAAUUUAGUGACUUUAGAUAUAAUUUAUCCAAUGAGUUAAUAUAACUUUUAGCCUAUUAACUUAGCAAUUAGAUCACAAUUUUUUUAAUCCAUUCUAGCAUUUGAACUUAAUGAAUAGAUUUAUUAUAAUCCGUGGAUUUGACAAAUAUAAAAAACUUAACAAUAUGACACUCUGCAAUUAUGUCACGUCAUUGCCUCAAAUUAAGAGUAUCAUGACAUCAAACUUGAUGAAAUCAAAGUUCAGGAUUAAAAUAAACUUACCAAAGAAGACAAAAAAAAUGUAAAUACAAAAAUAGACUUAAUUACUAUGUUUUUUUUAGAGGGAUCAAUUUAACCAAUAACGACAUUGAGAGAGAUAAAGAAAUAUCGAUUUUUCCGAAUUCUAAGGUAUAUAAAUGUAUUUUUAUUUAUUAACACAAAUUAAAUAUAUAUACAACAUUUUAACUUUACCAUCGAACUAAAAUUUUAUUUUAAUAUAAUAUUUACAUUUUAAUUUAUUUUAUAAAUUAAUUAAAUUGAUGUUACAAAUUAACUCAAUACUAAAUAUUAAUAACAAUAGUACGAUAAACAAUUGUAAUACAUUUAGUAUUAUUAAUAUAAUUUAUUUACGUGUUUAAAUUUUAUUUUACUCACAAUUUAAUUAAUUUAUUUUUAUUUUAAUAAAUUAUAUAUUUAAUGUGUUAUUAUUAAUUAAUUUUAAAUUAUAUAUUUUUUAUUUAUCAUUCGCGUAAAUAGAAGUUCUAGUAGUAUUUAUAUUAAAUUAUAAAUUAAAAUAUAAAAUAAAUUAUCUAUAUUUAACCUAAUCAUAUCAAUGCUCGAACCUUCUCGUGCAACCUAUAAAUAACCCUGACCAUUAAGUUUAUUACCCUUUUACCCUCCCAUUUUCUCGCCUUUUAUCUUCUAUCUAAGAGAAAAAAAAAUUAAAGGAGAAAAAGGGCAAAAAAGAAAAAAAAAAACAUUUCCUUCAACCAAAGUACACCAAACCAUGCCAAGAGGUUCAUCGCAGUCGCAGUCGCAAUCCUCCACUUCCUCCUCCACGUCCCGGCCGGGCGUUAUGGCUCCUCGCGGUUCCGCGGCCGCAGCAGCCGGUAUGCGCCGCCGGAGGAUCGUCGGAGGUUCUUCAUCGGCUACCGCCUCUGGAUCCGUGGGUUCCGGUUCCGGGGGCAACAUGCUUCGAUUCUACACCGACGAUGCUCCCGGAUUGAAGAUCUCACCUACCGUCGUCCUCGUCAUGAGCCUUUGCUUCAUAGGUUUCGUCACGGCUCUUCACGUUUUCGGCAAGCUGUAUCGCGCCAAAGCCGGAGCUGGACCGUGAGGGUCUUGGCUCGGACCUGAUCCUCUUUCUAUUCGGACCUCCGAUCCGUUACUGAACCGGUAACUGAAUUUCCGCUUCACUCCUUUCUUCGUUUCUUUCGUUGUUUGACCGUUUCUGGCGUUUAGUCUCUGUAAAUAAUGAUGGCAAGCUUGUAAUUAUACAGUACUUUUGAACGUCGUGAACCUUUUUAAUUUGCGUUCAAGUUUGAUAAAAUGAAUAUGCUUUUUCUCUUUGAAGUUCUUGGGGCUGUUCCCUCCUUUUGCUAGCUUUAAUCCAAAAGUGACGUCUUUCACGCUCGUUUUUUAGUUUUUUAAGGUAUAUGGCUUGGCUGCUAGUUUUCUUUAAUAAUUUAGGCAAAUAUCGGUUUGAACAUUGAGUCACGCAACAAAUAUCGUAUGUGGCUCUUUUAAUCACUUUUUAUUUAAAUAAAUAAAUUAAAUUAUUUUUUUCUUAAUCGGAUCCUGUUCUUUUAGGUUUAAAUUUUAUUGUGUAUAUUGAAUUGAUUUUAAUUUUAGGGUGAGUUUGGAGAGGCGGUGUGUUUAACUGCGGUUAGUGUAAAAAUAGCGGUGGCGGUGUGAUUAGAUACUGUAGCGAUACUGUAGCGUGAGACAAAAAGUAAACUAAACGCAUCGCACCGCACUCAAUCGCUCAUCCAAACCCACUCUUAGAUGACGACGAGUUUAUCAUUACACGGUCCUUAUGGCACUGUUUUUAAACUCAAACCCAACUCGCUUCAACGAUUAGAUCAGAAAUCAAUAAUGAUAUUGACUUCAAGAAAAUUUAUAGAUUGAUCAGUAAAACGAUUGAACUAUAUGAAUUGAUAACUUAAUCGGUUUACCAUCAAUCCAAUUCAAUUCAAUGAUGCAAAAUCAUCAUUUAAACAAAGUUUGUUACUUAAAAUACCGAAAAACAAGUAUUAGAUAUUAAUGCACUGAUAAGGUAUAUUAAACUUUUAAGAGAGAAUGUAAUUUUAAAUUUUAAAGAUAACAUUAUCAAAAAAGUAACUACGAAUCCUAAAUAAAAAGGAAAUAUACCUCUAUGAUUGGAUCAGAAACCGAUAUUGGUAUUCAUUUAGAGAGAAAAAUUAAAUUGAUUGAUCCGUAAAAUGAUUAAACUAGAUGAAUUCAUACCUUAACAAAUUUAUCAUCAAUCCAGUUCAAGCAUACGAAAUCAUCUUAAAUUUUGUUAUAUAAAAAACCAAAAAUGGCCUUGUUUUUCGCACAACUAGAAAAUUCAUAUAUAAACCAACAAGAAUUUGGAUAUUAGUGCAGUAAUAAGGUAUAUUUCACGUUUUAAGAGAAAAUGUAAAUUUAAAUCUUAAAGAUAAUAUUAUUAGAAGGAUAACUAUGAAUCCCAAAUAAAAUCUUUGAAUGGGUCACUCAUAUACACUAGACAUAGUCGCAUUAUUAAACGUAUUAUGUUUGUGUCCUAUCUUAUCAUUCGAGUUGACUACAAGCACACAUUAUUAACCUUAAUAUUUUCAAACCACUAUCAUCCGAAAGUCUCAAAAACUACACAUUUAUUAAGCAGAUGUUUAUUCACGGUUUGAUGUAUUUUAGGAUUUUAAUAUUCAUUAUAAAUAGAUUUUUAUUUCAUUUAUUUUCAUUAUCUCUAUUAAUAUAGACAUUGAAGAAGCAUUGUAAAUAUCUUCAUUAAUUAAUAAAAAUCUCUUAUUUCUUAUUCUUUUAAUUUAUACUCGAUUUAUUUUUCUCACUUUUCGCUCGUGUGUUUUCUACCCUUUAUUAUUUAGUCCCUAUUUUUAACCCUUUCUUUAUUUUCCCAAUAGCCCCCCCAACUCUGGCCUUAAGGAGAUCCUUAUGAACUAGACCUGUCCAUGGGCCGGGCGGCCCGGCCCGAUGGCCCGCCCGAAAUAUGGGAGGGUUCGGGUAAAAAUAUAGGCCCGAAAUAUGGGCUUGAGCAAAAAAACGAGGUCCGUUUAAAAAUGGGCCGGGCUCGGGCUCAAAUUUUUGGCCCGAGCCCGGCCCGGCUUGGCCCGGCCCGAAUAUAAUAAAUAUAUUUUAUUUUAUUUUAAAAUACUUUAAAAUAUUUUUCAUUUUUUUAUUUUUAAAAUAUUUUUUGUGUUUAUUAAAAAUCGGGCCGGGCCUGGGCAAAAUUUUAGGCCCAUAUUUCGGGUCGGGUUGAGCCCAGGCCUAAGAGUCAGGCCAAAAAUUUUUUCCGAGCCCGGCCCGGCCCAUGGACAGGUCUAUUAUGAACCAACCCCAAUAACUAGCCACUAACUUAAUUUCAAAUUUUAAUCUUUAUGCGUGUAUAAAAUCUAUAAAAAUCAAGCUAUUGUGAGGAUAGAGAUCAUAAACACAAUAUGCGAGGAUUAGUAGGAAGUUUCUCCUUUAAAUAUUUUGUUUCUAGAUUUACUUUAAUUUUAAUUUUAAUUCAUUAUUAAUUAUAAUCAAUUCGAUUAACUUGUUUUAUUUGUUUCUUUCGAGGAUGGUGAAAAUUUUUAUCCCAACAUUGAUUUAUGAAGCAAAAUUUUAGAUUGAUAAGGAGUUUCGACAUAUUUUUAUUCAGGUAUAACUGUGAUUAUUAUUUAUUUUAUAUCUGAUUGAAUUAUCGUGAUAAAUUUUUGUGACAUUGAUUCUCUUUAAAUAAAGAAUAUAUUAGGAUGGUUAGAAGUCUGUCCUAUUAGAUCUAAUAUUGCAUUCCUUGCACUAAAUGCAAGCAUAACAAAUUUUGAUUAGAGCACCAUACGAUUUUAUACCAUAUACGUGGUAUUAAAAUUUGGCAUAAUGUGUAUUAGAUAAUUUUCAAGCAUAAUAAAUAGAAAUUUCAUUGUUUUAUAAAUCGUCUUUACUAUUAAUUUACUACUAAUUUGUAAAUGUUAUUAUGAGUAAGAUAAAAUCUUGAUUUUAUAAAUAGUUUUUUACUAUUAAUUUAUAAUUGUUAUUAUGAAAGCAAUGAUGUUUUAAUACUUGUAAUUGUGCUUGUUAUAAUAGUCACGGUGAUGACGAUGAUGUUAAAUAUCUUCGGGUAUAUUUUAAUAUGAUUUAUUUUAUUGCAACGUGUUUCUUUUUUUAUAAUUGAAGAUUAAUCAUGAAAUACGUAGAAUUUGAGAUGUCAUAUGAAGUUGUCAAGAGGGGGAGUAAAUACGUGUUGUACUCUUCUCCCCUUAACCAAGGUUUUAUUCAGUUGAAUUUUCUUGGUAAUGUUUUUAAUGAUAUAACAUGUUAUGCGCAUUAUAAAUAUGUAUACUCUUUUUCCUUCAUUAGGAAAUUUUUUAUACACAGAUGAGGCCUAUUAUUUACCAAUAAACAUCCAAAGAACAGUGUUGUGAAUAUUUUAUUAUUAAGUGGAUGUUCAUCAAUAUCAAGAUAAGCUCGAUAUACUUCAAGACUCUAAUAUUCAUUAGAAGUAUAGUUUUAUUUGAUAGAUCGGAUCGGGUUAAAAAUUAUCAGAUUCAGAUUAUUUUAUAUUUUUAUUUGCAAAACUAAAGAAAUUCAAUAUUUAAAAAAAGUUUUAAUUAAGAAUGAAGAAAGAAAUGACAAGUUGAUUGAAUUUGAGACAUUUAAAUAGUUGAAAAAUACAAGCUACCAAUAUAUGAAAACAAGCAAUCAUCAAACUCUCUUGCUUUUGGAAGACAAUUUGAGUCCUGCUUUAGUUAUCCCAUUUUAUCAUGCCAACCACCUUUUAGCUUUUCCUUUUUAAUAAUUUUUUUAUAUUUAUUUUUUUAUAUAAUGUCUAGAAUGUCUAGAACUAGCAAUAGUCGCUCCCUAACUCAAUUAUAAUUUAGAUUUUAUUUAUUUAAUACUUAUAUAUUAUUAAAUUUAUUUUUUUAAUUAUUAUUUUUAUAAUUUUAAAAAAAUUAAAUUUUAAAUGCAAAAUAAAAUUAAUAUAAACCAUAACACAAAUAAUGAACAAUCAUGACUAAUAUAAUUAACUAUUUUUUUAUAAAAAAAUAUAAUUAAAUUUUUGCUAUGUAAAUAACAUAUAAAAUUAAGUAUUCAUAAUUUUAUUAUAUAUACUUAUUCAAAUCGAUUAUAUUAAUCAGCUCAUUUCGUUACUAAAAUGAUUACCUUAACUAUUAAAUCUUUAAAUUUUUCAUUUUAAAUUAUGUCAUAUAAAAUUUGACGUGUCAUUUGACAGUUUUAGUAAUGGAAGGAUUUAAUUGAUAUAAUCUCGACAGUUUAAUGAUGUAAUUGAUAAAAUUAAAAGAUAUAUAGGGAUAAAAAAAAUGAAAGCACCUCUAAUACUUACUAUUACUGACUCGUAACCCGAAUGGAUCUAAGUCGGAUUCUACACGAUUUGCAUGUUAAGCUCGCAUACCAAGUUCGCAGAUCGAGUUCGCGUAUUGAGUUCGGCAAUGAUUUUAAGUGUUCCCAAGAGAGGUAUUUUAUACUCCCCUAAAAGGUUACACGUAAGGUCGCACGUAGAACUAUAUAAAUAUGAGUUAAAUCUAGAAUAUGACACGUGUUAGCAUGCAUAGAAUAUAUUCUAAAAUAUCGCAUCAAUAAAUCUACCAUCCUACCAUCUAAAGAGUACAGAAAAAAAACACUCAACAACCUCAAAAUUCAAUAAUCAUAACAAUUAACUCUGGUGACAGUACUAUUUAAAUGAUAAAAAUAUGGUAUAAAACAGAAAUUUAAAGGAUAAUAACAUGUUUUUAAAAACACAAAAUAACAAAAAAAAAAACAUGCACUCAAUCUCACCAUAUUUUUCCCCUCAAAAUCCCAUAUUUAAUUUUUUUUAAUUUUUAUUUUACUAUAAUCACAAAGAAAUUAAUGCAAUAACUAUGGCAGUAACCCCAAAUAAACCAACAUUGUUUCCUAUAGUGAACCUCACAGCUUUAGAAUUAUCAGUAGAAUCAUCAGCAGGACUGUCAGCCACAUCAUCAUCUUUCUUCUUCUUCGAUUUCGCCGGAGCAGGCGCUGGGGCCGGAGGUCUAGGAUCGAAUAUCUGUAAAGGCUGAAGAACUCUAUCUAUUUGAUAAACAGCAAGUUGACCGUCGGUAUAAACUGUACCGGAAACACUAGUAUUAGUCAACCCCGACGUAAUGUUCACGGUGUCUCCCGACGAGGUAACGUUGAGAGGGAACUUCCCGUCGCCGCUAUCACCGGCUUGGGUUCUUAAAGGGUUACUAAUGGUUUGAAACUGGGCUGAAGAGAGAUAAGUUGGGAUUAUAUGGAAUUGGAUUAACUCUACCUUUUGUUCGUCGGAAAGUGAGUUCAACGUGCCGGAUUUUAAGCUCGAAAAAGCACUGUCGCUCGGUGCGAAAAUAGUGAUCCCAUUGUUGGUGUUGUUGAGUUGGCCGAGUAACUGGUUCGCGACUUGCGUGGCUUUCAUUAACCGGAUAAAAGUAGAGAAUUGGCCGGCUUUUUCGAGGAUUUUUGUGACGUUGGUUGGACCGGGUGGUGCCGGGGAUGAUGCCGGUGCUAGUACUGGUGUUGCCUUUGGAGCUACCACCGGAGCUGCUGCCGGAGCUUGGGCUAAGGUUAAUAAUGUUGAACAAGAAGUAUGAAGGAGAAAGAAAAGCAUAAGGUGAUCAAAUUGCUUCAUUAUCAUAUAUAAUUAUAUAUCACUCUAUAUAUUCAAUAUAUGCCUUAAAAACACUAUGUUUGGAUGUGUUUAUUUUAUAGGAAGAGAAAUGGGGGAAAUUAGGGUUUUUAUUAUGGGAGAUCGAGGGAUCAAAAUUAGGUAAAAUGUUCAAUUUUAGUUAGCUAAUUUCUUUUUUUAAUGGACAUGAUUUGAUAACAUUGUUUCAUCAAACUCUAUUGCUUGGAAAAGCAGGAAAAACAACAUAAAUAGAUUUUAUUUUUUGGUUUUUAAAAUGGGAUUUAUUAAGAUUAUUCGUGUUCUGUAAGUCCAUUAAAAAAAUAAACCAUGAAAUACAUAUAAACUAUGGUGAUAUAUAAAAGUUUGUGUAUGAAUAUAUCAAUUUUUAUAUAAUGAAUGUGUCGAAAUUUUUGUAUAAAUACGACUAUGACCUGAGAAAAUACGAUUGAACCGGAGAAUUAUUGGAAUUAUUAAAAUAAAAAAGAGGUGAAUGAUUGCUUUAAUUUUACUUUGUAUUUGAUAUUUUGGACAAAAAAAUAUAUACUUUUGAUUGUUACUUUCUACCUUAAGAAAAGAAAAGAAUGUUUCCACAGAAAAAAAUUGAUGGAAAAUGGCUGCUGGUUUGUAUGUUAAUGGGAUAUUCAGCUGGCCCUCUAAAAUAGAAUUUUUUUUAUUUAAAUAUUUUAAAAUUUUAAAUUAGUAAAGGUAAAAUUGUACUUUAAUCCCCUAAAAAUAUAAAAGCUUAAUUUAACCUUUUAAAAGUUAUAAAGAUAUAGGCUAUUAAAAUUGUGAAAUUAUAUUUUUGUUAUCGUAAAAAUUACAAUUUAUUUUCGGCCCCCUUAAAAAAAAAGUCUGAUUUCGCCCCUACUUAUAUUAAACCUUAAUAAAAAUAAUAAUGAAGUUGAAAUGUUUUUUUUUGUGAUUUUUUUAAAAUUAAGUAAUUUGCAUAUUAAAUAAAUAUAUAUGAAUCUUAGUUUUUUUUAAUAUUAAUCUCAUUAUAAUUUUUUAUCAUAUAUGUUCUUUUUGAUACAAUGCCUAAAACUAUCCAUAGCCCCUUUCCAACCCUGAAAUAGGAGGAUAAUGCACUUCAGCGUACUUGAACCCACAAUCUCUUGCAUAGACAACAAUAUUAAUACCAAUCAAGACAAGACUUAAUCGGUUGAACCUCAGGGUUUUUAAGACCUCAUCUUUGUUAUUAAGAUUAGGCUUUGUGGGUAAAACACUUUUUUUUAAUUAAUAUGAAAAUACUUUAUGGCGUUUCAUUAAAUCAAUACAAGGGAGGGAGGGUUGGCGAUGGCCCUGAUCUUCCUAGAAUGGAAAAUUCUCUUUUAGUCUAUUUAUAAUUUAUAAAAUUUUAUAGUAAUGAUAAAAUUGUACUUUGACCCCUGGAAUGAUAAAAGAAAAUUGAUUUAAUCUUUUAAAAAUUAUAAAGAUAUAGACAAUUAAAAUUGUGAAAUUGUACUUUUAUUAUUGUAAAAAUAUACAACUUAAUUCCGCCCCACCAAAUAUUUUUUUUUUGGACUUCGCCCUUGAAUCAAUAUGUAGUAUAAUACGAUAAGGAUGUUGUUAGCAGAUCAGAGACAAUUCAGAGAUUCACAGAAGUAUUUAAGGAGAAGACUUGUAAGUAGACCUAUCCAUGGGCCGGGCCGGGUUGGGCCCGAAAAAAAUUUCGGCCCUCCUCUUAGGCUCGGGCCGGGCCCGGCCCGAAAUAUGGGCCUAAAAGUUUGCCCAAGCCCGGCCCGACAAAAAAUAAUAAGCCCGAGCCCGGCCUGGCCCGGCCUGAUUUUUAAUAAACACAAAAAAAAAUUAAAAAGUAAUUUAAAAAUAAAAAAUAUAUAUUUAUUAUAUUUGGGCCGGGCUCGGGCCAAAAAAGUUGAGGCCGAGCCCGGCCCAUUUUUUAAACGGGCCUCAUUUUUUUGCCCAAAUCCAUAUUUCGGGCCUAUAUUUUUACCCAAACCCUCCCAUAUUUUAGGCGGGUCGGGCCGGGCCUCCCGGCCCAUGGAAAGAUCUACUUGUAAGUCAUGUAUUUGUCUUUUAUUAAUGUGUUUGUCAUUUUUGUUAGGUUGGCUAUACAACCUAAUGUAACAGAGUGAUUGGGCUGGUUAAUGACGAAUAAUCACGGUCUUAUCAAGAUGGUUGAUCUUGAUGCGGCUGUGACCAUAACGAGCUUUGUGCUCGUGCCUAGUUUUUGGCAAGAACUCAAUUCAACCGAAUAUAUGUAAUAAAGACAAUCAAACCCAAACAUAAAACAAGCCAUAAUAUAACUCAAUAAGCCUACCCAACAUUGAAUGGGCCUCAUUAAGCAAAUGACCCAAGAUAGUGAAAAUCCAAAGAUACAUUUUUUAAGUUUAGAAAUAAUAAGGUAAGAUUAACAUUUAAAAAUACUUAAUGAUAGUACAUUGAAUCUUAAUCCGAUUGAUAUGAGUAUUGUUAUCAAUGUAAGAAUAUGUGGGUUUGAGUGCUAAAGUGCAUUAUCCUUCUAUUUAUGGAUUAAAGAGUAUUGAUAUGAGUAUUGUUAUCAAUCUACUUGAUGAGCUUACAGAAUGCGAAAAAUUAGUUACUAGGUUCGCUCUAGUGGAUAUCUCAGGAAACUAAAAAGAAAAAUUCACAUCAACUACUAAAAAUAUUAAGGGUCCUAAUUAUUUAGACAAAUUGAAAACACUAUUAUUAUUUUUUAAUCAUUAUAAGAUCAUGAUAGAUUUGUAAUUUCAAUCUCUCUGUUAUGCUCACAUUUGAGAUUCAAUCUUCAUUAAUUUGAUGUAAUUUGAUAGUCUGCUUUUAUAAUGACAUUAGUUGAUCAAAAUAAUUAACAUCCUUAGCUAUAACAAUUAAAAUGAUUACGUUAAUUUCUCUCAGAAACACCUCUGUAACACUAUAUAUAUUUCUACAUGAAGUUGGAACGGGUAUUUUUAAGAAAAUUUGACCUCAACAUUUUGACCAAAAUAAUUAAGAUUAUCAACUAUUUAAACCGACUAAUGAUAUUAUGUAGAGAAACCAAAUUAUAUAAAAUUAAAGAAUAGAUACUAAAUUUUAAAUUUAAACAUAGCAUAUAGACGACAAACAUAAUUUGAUCUCAACAAUCUAUGCCUAAUAUAAAUUCUAUGUUUAAUUUUUUAACUUAAAUUAUAAAAAAAAUAUCAUGAAUAUCAAUACAUCAUAUCUGAUAUGAAAAUCUUUCAGCACUGAUAAUAAAAUUUAAUUAAUCAAUAUUAUCAAUUCAAAUAUGAUAAAAAAUAUAAAUAUAGUACUAAAACAAAAGAAAAACUAAAACCAGAGGAUUGUUAAGAAGAAGAAAAAACCUUAGCCACUCAACUUUCUAAAAUUAAAAUUUGACUUUGUUGAUGGUGGAGUGGCCUCUAAGUUAGGUACUUGUUACAGCCUCUUUAUUAAUAGUUUUUCUUCAAAUUUUAGUUUCAGUCUUCUUUAUUUUUAAAAAAUUUUGGUGGUUUUAAACCCCAUAUGUUGGCCUGGUAAUUGGGAUGUUUGUCACUCUAGAUGCAAGAGUUAAGUAAAAAAAAAAAUUAGGGGGCUAAAAUUAAAUUGUAAUUUUUAAUAAUCUAUAUAUUUAUAAUUUUUAAAGGAUUAAAUCAAAUUUUAUCAUUUUCAAGAGGGGACAAAAUGUAAUUUUACCUUUAUUAAUUUAAAUUUUUAAAUUUUCUAAAGGGCCUAAAUUGUCAAUUUUUCAUUUUAGGGGGGACUGGGGCCCUGCCAGCCUCCCCUAGAUCCGCCUCUGCCCAAAAGUAACAUGGGUUCAAAUCGCGCUAGUUGCGUUACUGUUAAGGUUUUUGUUUUAAUUCAUUCUAUUUUCUUCAAUUUUAUUCAUUAUGUUUUCUUUGAAUAUUUAUGGGUAACAGAUGAUGGUUUGUGGACUAAUUGGUUAAAUAUUUAUGGGGUUGUGAUUUAUAGGGGUUUUGAAAAAAUGGUGGAUUGUUUUUUGAGCGCUCAAAUUAGGGAUUAUUGUUGUUUGAUCCUACUCUAUAUGAUCACAUAAUACAAACCUCUACUUUAUUCAAAUUAUGUUUAGAUUAUUUUCAGAUUUAUUUAUACUUAAAUCUCUUGUUAUGUAUACGUGGGUUUUUUCAGAAUUAUUCAAUUUGAGAACUGCGCUAAAAGUAAUCAUGAGUCGGAUUGAAGCUUGGAAAUAUUUUUUCUUAUCUAAAUCCAAUGGUAUCAGCCACAAGUGAAAUUCAAAAAUUAUGCUGGGGGCUGGUUGAGUCUUAACUUGAUUAGAAUUGGCAUUAUUGCUAGUGCAGGAGGAUGAGGAUUCGAGUGCGUUGAAGCGUUAUUCUUCUAUUUAGGGGUUGGAGAGGGACUAUGAAUAGUUUUAGGUGUUAUAUAAAACGUAGCAGAUAUGAUAAGAUUAAUGUUAAAAAAAAUUAUACUGGAGGACUAUAAAUAAAUUAUAAUUUUUGGGAGCCAAAAUGCAAUUUUAAUUUUAUGUUAUCAUGUAUUUUUACAAUAUCUUAAAAGUAACAAGAAAAUUUCUCAAAAAAUUUAUUAAUAUUGAUUGAGCCUAACUUUAGUUAAUAUUAUUACUAUUAUAACAAGUAAAAAGACAUAAAUUUAAAUACGAUUAAACUUGUAUUUUUCUCCUAUUUAAAGGGAAAUACGAAUUAAGUGAAGGAAGCUGUUAGGCCAUUGAGUAAGACGUUAUGUUUAUAAGCCUUUUGGAAAAUUGCAACCCCCGUAUACCUAAGUUUGGUUAGGUUUAGCAAUUAGGGUUUAAUUAAAAGGAAACAUCUUUUGUGGUAACCAAUUAGCACAUUAAUACCAUGCAACAUAAAGCCAUGGAGAAGAGAUGGUUGAGGACCACCACUUGUCUCUAGUGCCACCACCCCUAAUUCAAAUCCAAGUAAUUUGUUUACUUUGACUAUCUAUAGGGUUCGCAUUGGAACAAAAUCGAUUAUAUUUUAUUCUGAUAACGAACGUGAUAAUCUUAUAAUUCGGAUUUGAUCAUCGAGUCGAGCAUGAGGUACAUGUGGCACAUCAUAUGUCAUUAAAUGGUUAUCUUGUCAAUCAUGCUUUUUUUUUGGUUUACUUCAUGUUCGUUUUACGAUCUAUGUUCAGGGUUCGUAGCUGUCUCUCUCAACAAUAUCAUCUCCAAGUUUCGAACUUGAGUGAGUCUUCUUAUUGGGAGUGCAAUAUAUCUUACUAUUGCACCCAAUCACUUGUUGGUCAAUCAUGUUAAUUUUUGACAGUACAAAUGAAUGAAAUUUUUAAUAUAAACGAUUACUGAUCUCUUUAAUUUAAUGUAUAAAGACUAAUUUACUCAUUUUUUUCAGAAUAAAAUAAAAUAUAAUCGUACUCCUAACCUCUAUAUUACUUUUACCCACAUUGUAUAUUAAAAAAUAUAAAUUUAAUAUUUAUCGCUUCAAAAAUAAUAUUGCAAGAAUUAAAAUAUAAUAUAAUUAAUUUUUUAAUUUAAUCGAAAUUUAAUAUAACUACCAAAAUAACCUUUCAAACAAACAAAAUUUAAAAAUUUGGUUGGUGGUUACAAUAAAUUGGAAUUUAAUUUCGGCUUGACAUUAAUUCGAGCUUUCAAAUUUGCAACUAUCUUCAAUAUAACUACCAACAUCUUCACCUCUCAAAUUUCAAAAAUCUUUUACUAUUCUCUUAGCUUUCACCGACAAAAAAAAUGGCAGCGAAGCAAACGACGAUCCUCGUUGCCGCCAUCCUCGUAACGGCUUUUUACGGCGGCGCGGCGACAUCGGCGCAGGCACCGGCAGCUGAUCCAGCGAUGGCCAUGUCGCCGUCCGCCAUGGCACCGACGCCGGACUGUAUGACGAACUUGCUCAACUUAUCGGAUUGUUUGACGUACGUGGAGGCCGGAAGCAACUUGACGAAGCCGGACAAGCCUUGUUGUCCGGAAUUGGCUGGGCUAGUGGAAAGUAGCCCUCAAUGCUUGUGCUAUUUGAUGGAUAAGAAUGCGACGGCGAACUAUGGGAUCAACAUUGACAUGGAAAGAGCUCUUAAGCUGCCUAAUGUUUGCCAUGUCAAAACCCCUCCUGUUAGUCUUUGUUCUGGUAAUUCUACCUUUCCCUCUUCUUUUUUUUACUACCUUUCAUGAAUUUUUGAUGGAGUAUAACUGGUCUUGUUGUUUGGAUUGAGAAUUGGCGGGUAAAGGAUUGAAUAAUUUUGAAUGAGAAAAUAACAACCGAAAAUUAAAACAGGAAAACUGAUUGAAUUGAUUUAUAGAUUUUUUAAUUGUUUAUUUAGUUAUUGGAUGAAUAUAACGAGGAGAAUUAAAUAUUGAACUCAAAUUUGUUAUAAUUGUUAGCGUUAAUUGUAAGAUAUUUUCAAACUAUACUUUCGAUUUUAAAUUUGGUUCGAAAGUUUAAAAAUAUUGUAAUUAAAUUUUUAAAUUUUUUUAGAAUAUUCUUUAUAUCAAGAUGGUCUUUUCCGUUAGUAUUUCAUAAAUUUAAGCUUCAAAUGUCAAUUCAAAAUUGAUAUGUAUAACUUUAGAUCUUAUGUUUUCGAAAAAUAUAGACGUUAACAAUUUAGGUGGAUUAUAUUUUAUUUUAAUACAUUGAAUCUAAGCUGUUAUGCAUUAAGUAUACACGUGUUUAUAAUUUAAUUUACGUAUUUUAAAUAUGCUCAACAUUUUAUCCAAUUAGAACUACUUGAUUGAUAUGAUAUUAAAAUAUUGAAAACUUAAUUAAAACAUCUUGAAGUUUUUGGACCAAUUUAACAUUUGGACCAUAGUUUGAAAACAUUUGUUAGAAUUAACCCAACAUUUUCAAAGAUAAUUACAAUAUGAAUUAUAUUGGUUCUUUUUAAUACAAUUUCUUAAAUUAUUUAUAGUCUCACAAAACUCAUAACUAAAAGAAUAAUGUGUUUUAGCUCAUUCAAACUUAUGUCUUCUUAUAUUGGUAAAAAUGUCCAUUUCAAUUGAACUAAGACUCCAUCGACGAGUAGGAUUUUUUUUUGGGAACACAAUAUGAGCGAUUUUAUAGUAUUUUUUAAAAAUAUAUUUUUAAUUGUGAAAGUAUUAAUACAUAAUCACAUUUAAUAAUAUACAUUGAAAUGAAGCUUUGACUGUUGAAUUUAUUAUUUCCCGAGGCUGUUUUAUAUAGUCUAUAAUAGUAGAAACAUAAUAUAUUUAUAAAUCAUAUAAAUUUUGGUUAAUACAUAUAUUCAUGAUAUUUUUUUAUUUUAUUUUUUAAUGUUAAUUUUUGUACAUUAUAUUUAAAGAAUAGUUUGGGUGAUGGGGGGGGGUAUAGUUGGGUCUCAUUUAAUAUGUUUGAUGGGGGCAUUUAAGGUUUCUCGGUUAGCUCUCAACUAAUUUUACCGCUCUGUCCUUUUUCCAAAUAAAUGAAUCACGUGCACACUGCCUUUUUCAUUUAAAUAAGAUUUUAUUACCAAAACAUUAAUGUUAUUUUUAAAAAAAAAUCGUAAAAAUUGUUAAUUUUCACACGAGAAAUUAUUUUAUGUAAUUUUCUCAUAUUAUUCAUAAUUUUUAAUUAUUUAAUUAUAUUUCAAUAAAUUUUUUUAUGUUAACACAUAAUUUUAAUAACUUUUUUUUAUCUUGAACCAUAGACCUCAAAUCUCAAAUAUUAAAUCUCAAACUUUAAACUUCGAACUCCAAAUUAUUUGAAAUUUGAAGUUCGAGGUUUGAAUUUGCGGUUCAAAAGUUCAUGUUUGAGAUUUAAAGUUCAGGAUCAAAGUUCAAAAUUUUGGAUUCUGGAUAAAAAAUUUAUUAUCACGUAUUAUAUUUAAUGUAAAUAUUAUUAUCAUUAAAAUUUUAAUUGAUAUUAACAAUUUGUAAUCCAAUUCUCGUCUCAAAAUUUUAAAAAUAGAACUUAAUCAAACUUUAAAAUCAAGUUUUAUUCAUUUACAUAAACCUUGAACGUUAAAUUUAAUAGUUAGAACUAUUAACAUUUAUUUCCAUGAACUCAAACAGCUAUCAUCGGGGCUCCAAUCGGAGUUCCAACUCAAAGCACUGAAGGACUUGUGUCGCCAGCAUCCGAGCCAACAGGUUCCGUAGCAUACGGACCGACUCCAUCCGCCAUGGCACCAACACCGGACUGCAUGACAAACUUGUUUAACUUGUCGGAUUGUUUGGGGUACGUGACGGCUAGAAGCAACCUAACGAAGCCGGACAAACCUUGUUGCCCGGAGUUGGCCGGGCUCGUGGAAAGCAGCCCUCAGUGUUUAUGUUUAUUGUUGGAUAAAAACGCGACCUCGAGUUAUGGGGUCGACAUUGACAUCGAUAGAGCUCUUAAGCUACCUAAUGUUUGCCAUGUUAAAACCCCUCCCGUUAGUCUCUGCUCUAGUAAGUAUAUUAAUUUCUUUUAAGAAUUUAAUUAAGUCUUAAAAGUAUCGAUAAAAUAUCAAUCGAGAUAUUUAUUUAACUUAAUCAUUAUCUCCAGCAUUAUAAGUUAAAUAUAUUGCAAAGUAAUCACAAAAUUGAUUUUUAUCUCGAAUUGAAUUCCUGC